CGAGUGGCGGACGGGUGAGUAACGCGUGGGUAACCUGCCUUACACAGGGGGAUAACACCUGGAAACAGGUGCUAAUACCGCAUAAGCGCACAGGGCCGCAUGGCCCGGUGUGAAAAACUCCGGUGGUGUAAGAUGGACCCGCGUCUGAUUAGCUUGUUGGCGGGGUAGGGGCCCACCAAGGCGACGAUCAGUAGCCGGCCUGAGAGGGUGGACGGCCACAUUGGGACUGAGACACGGCCCAAACUCCUACGGGAGGCAGCAG
This 262-nucleotide ribosomal RNA is filed under the name uncultured bacterium. Its description in RNAcentral is "partial 16S ribosomal RNA". It matches the Rfam family "Bacterial small subunit ribosomal RNA", at positions 92 to 354 of the family's 1533-position model. The record is from RNAcentral.